Molecule: non-coding RNA, 84 nt
Organism: Marchantia polymorpha subsp. polymorpha
Lineage: Eukaryota; Viridiplantae; Streptophyta; Marchantiopsida; Marchantiales; Marchantiaceae
Source: Rfam
GUGAGCCGUGUAAUGGGCAACUAUUUCGCACGGUUCGGAGGGCACUUCAGUAAGCCUUACAAGGGCUGAAGUCUUGACCCCUAU